RNAcentral lists this ribosomal RNA (506 nucleotides) under uncultured bacterium. RNAcentral describes it as "partial 16S ribosomal RNA". It matches the Rfam family "Bacterial small subunit ribosomal RNA", at positions 29 to 523 of the family's 1533-position model. The record is from RNAcentral.
AGUGAACGCUGGCGGUAGGCCUAACACAUGCAAGUCGAACGGCAGCACAGGAGAGCUUGCUCUCUGGGUGGCGAGUGGCGGACGGGUGAGGAAUACAUCGGAACCUACUUUUUCGGGGGGGAUAACGUAGGGAAACUUACGCUAAUACCGCAUACGACCUACGUGUGAAAGCAGGGGAUAUUCGGACCUUGCGCGAUUGAAUGAGCCGAUGUCGGAUUAGCUAGUUGGCGGGGUAAAGGCCCACCAAGGCGACGAUCCGUAGCUGGUCUGAGAGGAUGAUCAGCCACACUGGAACUGAGACACGGUCCAGACUCCUACGGGAGGCAGCAGUGGGGAAUAUUGGACAAUGGGCGCAAGCCUGAUCCAGCCAUACCGCGUGGGUGAAGAAGGCCUUCGGGUCGUAAAGCCCUUUUGUUGGGAGAGAAAUCCAGCUGGUUAAUACCCGGUUGGGAUGACGGUACCCAAAGAAUAAGCACCGGCUAACUUCGUGCCAGCCGCCGCCGUAA